UACCUUAAGACAAAAAUAAUUUAAGGCAAGCCCUGCCCAGUGAAAUCUUCAACGGCCGCGGUAUCCUAACCGUGCAAAGGUAGCAUAAUAACUUGCCUAUUAAUUAUAGGAUAGAAUGAAAGGGUAAACGAAAUAGGAGCUGUCUCUAUUAGCCCAAUGAAAAUUAUUUUUUAACUGAAGAAAGUUAAAUUCAACUGAAGGACAAGAAGACCCUAUAGAGCUUAAUUUAACCUACUAAAUAAGUAAAAAUUAAAUUCGGUUGGGGCGACCGAUGCUCUACAAAUCAUCACCCACAAAAAGAAAUAUACAUCUCAAAAAAGACCCUGACCCAGAUCAAAAAAACAAGCUACCUUAGGGAUAACAGGCUAAUCUCAUUAAUGAGUCCCCAUCUAUAAUGUUGGUUGGCACCUCGAUGUUGGCUUAGGGAAUCAAAAGGGCGCAGAAGCUUUUUAAGACGGUUUGUUCAACCAUUAAACCCCU
This 480-nucleotide ribosomal RNA is filed under the name Pontoscolex corethrurus. Its description in RNAcentral is "partial 16S ribosomal RNA". It matches the Rfam family "Bacterial large subunit ribosomal RNA", at positions 1827 to 2597 of the family's 2925-position model. The record is from RNAcentral. Lineage: Eukaryota; Metazoa; Annelida; Clitellata; Crassiclitellata; Glossoscolecidae.